Long non-coding RNA from Oncorhynchus keta (chum salmon), 3339 nucleotides. RefSeq lists it as uncharacterized. NCBI's taxonomy places the organism in Eukaryota, Metazoa, Chordata, Actinopteri, Salmoniformes, Salmonidae. The record is from RefSeq and is a predicted model, not a curated record. The transcript has 3 exons.
ACAGCUAUACAAUCUCCAUAGACAAACAUUGUCAGUAGAAUGGCCUUACUUAAGAGCUCAGUGACUUUCAAUGUGGCACCGUCAUAGGAUGCCACCUUCCCAACAAAUCAGUUCGUCAAAGUUCUACCUUGCUAGAGCUGCCCUGUUUAACUGUAAAUGCUGUUAUUGUGAAAUGGGAAAUUCUAAGCGCAACAACGACUGAGCCACUAAGUGGUAGUUCGCACAAUCUCACAGAACGUGACCGGCAAAAGUGCUGAAGUGCGCAGCUCGUAAAUAGAAUCUGUCCUCGGUAAGAACGCUACUUGCCCAAAUGGAUAGUGCCCAUUAGUUGCAGUGAAGAGAAAUCUUAAUGCUACACCAUACAAUGACAUUCUAGACAAAACUGUGCUUCCAACUUUGUGCCAACAGUUUGCGGAAGACCCUUUCCUGUUUCAGCAUGACAAUGCCCCCGUGCAUAAAGCGAGGUCCGUAAAGAAAUGGUUUGUCGAGAUCGGUGUGGAAGAACUUGACUGGCCUGCACAGAGCCCUGACCUCAACCCCAUUGAACACCUUUGGGAUGAAUUGGAAUGCAGACUGCAAGCCAUUCCUUAUCAGCCACAAGACCCCACUAAUGCUCUUGUGGCUGAAUGGAAUCAAGUCCCCACAGCAAUGUUCCAACAUUUAGUGGAAAACCUUCCCAGAAGCGUGGAGGCUGUAAUAGCAGCAAAGGGAGGACCAACUCCAUAUUAAUGCCCAUGAUUUUGGAAGGGGAUGUUUGACGAGCAGAUGUCCACAUAUACAGUGCAUUCAGAAAGUAUAUAGACCCCUUGACUUUUUCCACAUUUUGUUACGUUACAGCCUUAUUCUAAAAUUGAUUAAAACAAUUGUUUCCCUCAUCAAUCUACAUGUUUCCCUCAUCAAUCUACACAACCACCCAAUUUAUUCAAAAUUAAAAAACGGAAAUAUCUAAUUUACAUAAGUAUUCAGACCCUUUACUCAGUACUUUGAAGCACCUUUGGUAGUGGGUAUGAUGCUACAAGCUUGGCACACCUGUAUUUGGGGAGUUUCUCCCAUUCUUCUUUCCAGAGCUUCUCAAGCUCUGUCAGGUUGGAUGGGGAGCAUCGCUGCACAGCUAUUGUCAGGUCCAAAAAGUGCUGUAAUUUCUUAACAGUUCACCUGAUAUGAAUGAAAAUAUCCUCAAGUGAAAGCUGACAGUCUGCACUUUAACCGUAUAGUCAUUUGUAUCAUUUCAAAUCCAAAGUGCAGGAGUAUAGAGCCAAAAUAAGAAAACAUUCUUCACUGUCCCAGUAAUUACGGAUGCACUGUAUAUACAGUACCAAAAAUUAAGAUCUGAUCAUUUGAACAAGACAUUAACUCCAUGUGUCCAAAGGCUAAAUAUAGUACAAAAUCAAAACCUCAUAUUGUCGACAAAUGCUUUGGCCGGUAAAAAAUGUCCAUCAGUAAGCUCAGAGAACAAGUGAACCAAAGGAAAUUGUACAUUUCCGUUAUGGACAUGAAUGGUUUCAAUCCGAUUGGGUUUAUGAGUAAUAAACCCGUAGCAGACAUGUUUUUCUUUUGGCAUUUCAUUCAUUGUCUUAUGGUUUGACACAGACCACCUUAGUGUUUAGACAAUUAUUUAACAAUGCCUAUUGUCCAUUCUUUUGGAGUAUUAGAGAAGAAACAAAUUCAAAUCGACUCCUAUUAGUAAUGUGGAGACAAAGGGUGCUGUUGAAUUUAGUCACACUCUGUUCAGACAGUGUUGUAGUGGCUGUCAGACUUGGCUCGAGUAGUCAUUUGUGUUGUCAUCUUCAAUGUCUUCCAUCCCUGGGCACUCUUCAUUAACCUUUGCUGGUAACAAGUGAAACGGCACACAGUGUUGUGUGCAGCGGGAUUGAAUUCAAUGUGCGGCCAACACAAAAAAGGCUUUCAUUUCCUUCUUCUACUAACAGCCCUGAUACGUUGGAAAGCACAGUAAAGAAAUAUUCUGAGUGGUUAAAAUGAAACCGUGUUAGACAGUCACAGUAGCAGCUUUGUUGGGCUGUGUUGCUCAACCUUAUUAUAUCUGCUAUUGCUGCUUCUCUGUUAUGUUUACUUCUCCUUUCUUACGUUGAUCAGAAGAGAACCCCAGUCUGCAUGGGGCCAGACUAAGCAACAAGACCAGGGUCUCAUUCAACAUAAGAGAGGGAGGAUGUUGGAGAGAGUGCAGAGGGUAUGAGGAGAUGGCAGAGAACAGAACAGGAGAGGAGAGGGUGAGAGGGGAUGGCAGAGAACAGGAGAGGAGAGGGGGUGAGGAGAUGGUAGAGAACAGGAGAGGAGAUGGCAGAGAACAGGAGAGGAGAGGCUGUGAGGAGAUGGUAGAGAACAGGAGAGGAGAGGCUGUGAGGAGAUGGUAGAGAACAGGAGAGGAGAGGGUGAGAGGAGAUGGCAGAGAACAGGAGAGGAGAGGGGGUGAGGAGAUGGUAGAGAACAGGAGAGGAGAUGGCAGAGAACAGGAGAGGAGAGGCUGUGAGGAGAUGGCAGAGAACAGGAGAGGAGAGGGUGAGAGGAGAUGGCAGAGAACAGGAGAGGAGAGGGUGAGAGGAGAUGGCAGAGAACAGGAGAGGAGAUGGCAGAGAACAGGAGAGGAGAUGGCAGAGAACAGGAGAGGAGAGGGUGUGAGGAGAUGGCAGAGAACAGGAGAGGAGAUGGCAGAGAACAGGAGAGGAGAGGGUGAGAGGAGAUGGCAGAGAACAGUAGAGGAGAGGGUGUGAGGAGAUGGCAGAGAACAGGAGAGGAGAGGGUGAGAGGAGAUGGCAGAGAACAGGAGAGGAGAGGGUGAGAGGAGAUGGCAGAGAACAGGAGAGGAGAUGGCAGAGGAGAGGAGAGGGUGAGAGGAGAUGGCAGAGAACAGGAGAGGAGAUGGCAGAGAACAGAGGAGGUGUGAGGAGAUGGCAGAGAACAGGAGAGGAGAGGGUGUGAAGAGAUGGCAGAGAACAGGAGAGGAGAGGGUGAGAGGAGAUGGUAGAGAACAGGAGAGGAGAGGGUGUGAGGAGAUGGCAGAGAACAGGAGAGGAGAGGCUGCGAGGAGAUGGCAGAGAACAGUAGAGGAGAUGGUAGAGAACAGUAGAGGAGAUGGUAGAGAACAGUAGAGGAGAUGGUAGAGAACAGUAGAGGAGAUGGGCGAGAGGAGUUGGCAGAGAACAGUAGAGGGGAUGGCAGAGAACAGUAGAGGGGAUGGCAGACAACAGGAGAGGAGAGGGUGUGAGGAGAUGGCAGAGAACAGUAGAGGAGAUGGCAGAGAACAGUAGAGGAGAUGGUAGAGAACAGUAGAGGAGAUGGUAGAGGAGAUGGCGAGAACAGUAGAGGAGAUGGGCGAGAACA